AAAAAAAAAAAAAUCCAACUUCUAAAAACUAGAAUCCAAAAACAACAACCAGAGCAGGAAGCCUCUCGAGUUACAACCUGAACUUCAAGCCCCAUAAUACUUUCCUCCAGCCAGCUCUUUUUUAUUUUGAGAUGAGCUGAGCAUGGUAUGAACAGCAGCAGAUUCAACACAACCCAUGUCAGGUCUAAGCAGCUUAUACAUGUCCUGGCUUGCCCUGACAUGUUUUUCUGCUGUCCCUCCUUCCAUUGUGAGGAGAAGCAACCAUGGGAAAGAGGACAAAGAACCUGGGGCCACUGAGUCUAGAGACUCUGGCUUGCCCAGAGUUGUUUACAUUCUGUGGUAAACAAGGAACAGGCUCUAAAUGCCUCCACCUGAUGGGCCUGCACAGCCAGUGUGACAUCCUGCUGAGACUGCACAUCGCAAGACAUCCUGCCUACGCCUGAAAGUCUCCUGCCUACGCCGGGAAGUCCUGGAGCUACAUGGAUCAUUCAGAGAAGCCAGGAUACGGCCAGAGAUUGUCUGUCUCCUUUCCCCAGCACUCUAUGUGAAUUGUGGGAAGAAUCAGAAGUCUCAGUGGCUGACAAGGCAGUAGCUGAAUUCCCUGAAAGCAUUUGAGUACUGUCUGAAGCUGUAGCUGGCCCCAUGAGUUGGGAGAUAAUUUUGUGGGUAAAUACUUAAAGCCUCUUGCGAUUCACCAUUGCCUUCUGCCAUAAGCAGAAAGGGGCUCCUGGAGUCCAUCUAGAAAGCAAGCAGUAUACUGACCACAAGCAGUGUAUUGACCACAGGAACCUUCUUUUCUGGUUCAAUUAAUGUUAUAUGUUUUUGCUAGUUACUUCUAAACCCAGUUAUUGCUCUGUAGAAUGUUUCCAUGACCAUGCAAAGAAUCAGUUAUUAUUAACAUUGGUGUUUGGGGGGGGAGAAUCCUGAAUAUCAAAACUAAUAAAUGAUAUUAAUUUUGGAAAAAAUAUCAUCUUGCAUGAAUGAAUUUAGCCCUUCUUUAAAGUAUUUCAGAGGAGGCUUUUUUUCUUGAGCAGCCAUGUUACUUUUUCCUGCACAAUUCAGGCCUGGUAUGGGGCAAAGCUGGGGGCCAUUGACUCCCAGGUUUAGGUCUGCUUGAGAGGAGAGGUUUUAGAAGGUUUUGGCCUAGUGAGAGUGUGGUAAGCCCAUGCUGGAGGACUGGGCUGAGGCUGAAUAUGAAUGUGUGUAUUUUGUAUUUCUGUAUACACCUGUGAAUAGUAUUUCCAUUUAAACUUCCAAUGCAGUGAGGAGAGAUUUCAUUUUACUCCUUUGGGAAGGAGUAAAAAUAGCUUCUGUCUGCUUAAAACCAAGAGGCACUCAACUACAGAAAUGGUGCUUUGAAGCCACCCAUAGGAUGAUCAAUGGAUGUGAUUAUUUGGUAGUGCUAGGAGAGAAUGGAGGCAACGAGUGAAAGCAAAAAUUCUACUAAUAUGCAAAUAGAUAAGAAGCACAGGAAUAAUUUUCUGUCCUCUCCUUGAGAGAAAUUCAAUCCAAAAUGAUAAAAAAAAAUAUAUGUAAUUAUGCAUAUAUGUGCCCAUAGAAUGAAAUAAAAAUAGUGGUAAACAUUUGCACUAAAGUAUAUUUGAAAGCACAAAAAUCAUAUACUGAAAUCUACAGUACAUGAUAUUACAAAGCAAAAAUAGUGUGAAGUUCGUGUUUCUUGGAAGAGACCUUUGAGAUCAUAGAGUCCAACCUGUUCAAUACACAACUUCUAAUGAAACAUUUUGCUAACAUUGAAGUGUUUCUGCAUGUGAUUUAUAACAAAGUUUUAACUUAUUUGUUGUCAUUGGUAAGGAAUGAAAUACAAUAUGCAAACUAAUAAACAUUUAUCAAAUCACCUCUCA
Molecule: long non-coding RNA, 1862 nt
Organism: Pogoniulus pusillus (Red-fronted tinkerbird)
Lineage: Eukaryota; Metazoa; Chordata; Aves; Piciformes; Lybiidae
Exons: 3
Source: RefSeq, a predicted model, not a curated record